GAUGAACGCUGGCGGCGGGCCUAAUACAUGCAAGUCGAGCGAACGGACGAGAAGCUUGCGUUUCUGAUGUUAGCGGCUGACGGGUGAGUAACACGUGGAUAACCUACCUAUAAGACUUGGAUAAUUUCGGGAAACCGGAGCUAAUACCGGAUAAUAUUUUGAACCGCAUGGUUCAAAAGAGAAAGACGGUCUUGCUGUUACUUAUAGAUGGAUCCGCGCUGCAUUAGCUAGUUGGUAAGGUAACGGCUUACCAAGGCAACGAUGCAUAGCCGACCUGAGAGGGUGAUCGGCCACACUGGAACUGAGCCACGGUCCAGACUCCUACGGGAGCCAGCAGUAGGGAAUAUUCCGCAAAGGGCGAAAGCCUGACGGAGCAACGCCGCGUGAGUGAAGAAGGUCUUCGGAUCGUAAAACUCUGUUAUUGGGGAAGAACAUAUGUGUAAGUAACUCUGCACAUUUUGCCGUUACCUAAUCAGAAAGCCACGGCUAACUACGUG
RNAcentral lists this ribosomal RNA (497 nucleotides) under uncultured bacterium. Its description in RNAcentral is "partial 16S ribosomal RNA". It matches the Rfam family "Bacterial small subunit ribosomal RNA", at positions 28 to 507 of the family's 1533-position model. The record is from RNAcentral.